This 506-nucleotide ribosomal RNA is filed under the name uncultured bacterium. RNAcentral's name for it is "bacterial SSU rRNA". It matches the Rfam family "Bacterial small subunit ribosomal RNA", at positions 28 to 492 of the family's 1533-position model. The record is from RNAcentral.
GACGAACGCUGGCGGCGUGCCUAAUACAUGCAAGUCGAACGCACUCUCGUUUAGAUUGAAGGAGCUUGCUCCUGAUUGAUAAACAUUUGAGUGAGUGGCGGACGGGUGAGUAACACGUGGGUAACCUGCCCUAAAGUGGGGGAUAACAUUUGGAAACAGAUGCUAAAUACCGCAUAAAACCUAACACCGCAUGGUGUAGGGUUGAAAGAUGGUUUCGGCUAUCACUUUAGGAUGGACCCGCGGUGCAUUAGUUAGUUGGUGAGGUAAAGGCUCACCAAGACCGUGAUGCAUAGCCGACCUGAGAGGGUAAUCGGCCACACUGGGACUGAGACACGGCCCAGACUCCUACGGGAGGCAGCAGUAGGGAAUCUUCCACAAUGGACGAAAGUCUGAUGGAGCAACGCCGCGUGAGUGAAGAAGGUUUUCGGAUCGUAAAACUCUGUUGUUGGAGAAGAAUGUAUCUGAUAGUAACUGAUCAGGUAGUGACGGUAUCCAACCAGAAAGCC